CCUGUCAAGGUCAGUCAGUCACUUAUUGCUGCAGAUGUGCUCAAUAAUGCUUGAGCAUGUGAUACUCCUCAAAGCAUGGUGAAAUACAUAGAGGUGUAAUCACAAGCUAGACACAUGUAUUUUGUCAUCUUCCUCUGCUUACUUCUCCUGGCGCCAGACAGGCAGACUUUGCAAUGCCUCCGUGUGCGACUACCUUGAGAAGCAGUUUGAGGGACUUUGCAGGGAAAAUGUCGUGCAGUGAGGCGUAGGGGAUUGUCUACAGCAGGACGGCCCCCAGUGGAUGGGCGCCGAGGGGUGUGGUGCUCCUCCAGCAGCUCUCUCAUGAGGUUCUCUCUGUAUUUUUGGUGGUCCACCUUCCCUGUGGCCGACAUGGUUGCUGUGUGGACAGUGGAGAGGACAUGGACGUCUCGUCUCGUUUGUCAUGCCACUUUACUGCCAGCUGUUGACCGUUCUCCUGGAACUCCACCUCCCCUCUCUGCAUCUUCCUGCAUCCGAAUGCCGGCAUCCCCUUCCUGUUCGACCUGACUGUGCCACAGGCCCCUGUGCUGUUGGAGAGUGUUGAUGAUAAGAUUGGAGGAACUGGACUCGGUCAUGAACCAGGACACGGUGGAAUAAAAUAUAUGUAGGCUGUU
Long non-coding RNA from Oncorhynchus nerka (sockeye salmon), 632 nucleotides. RefSeq lists it as uncharacterized. The transcript is spliced from 2 exons. Lineage: Eukaryota; Metazoa; Chordata; Actinopteri; Salmoniformes; Salmonidae. The record is from RefSeq and is a predicted model, not a curated record.